UACGAAGGGUGCAAGCGUUAAUCGGAAUUACUGGGCGUAAAGCGUGCGUAGGUGGUUUCCUAAGUCUGCUGUGAAAGCCCUGGGCUCAACCUGGGAAUGGCGGUGGAUACUGAGGAGCUAGAGUGCGGUAGAGGAGGGUGGAAUUCCCGGUGUAGCGGUGAAAUGCGUAGAGAUCGGGAGGAACAUCAGUGGCGAAGGCGGCCCUCUGGACCAGCACUGACGCUGAGGCACGAAAGCGUGGGGAGCAAACAGG
Molecule: ribosomal RNA, 253 nt
Filed under: uncultured bacterium
Lineage: Bacteria
Description: partial 16S ribosomal RNA
Rfam family: Bacterial small subunit ribosomal RNA
Source: RNAcentral